CGUUCGUGGCUCAAGAUUUAACAACAACAAUCUCUAUAACCACGAUAUUUCUUCUUCCAUUUGUUAGAUGCAAUAUAAUGUCAGUUACCUUUAUCACUGUAUUGUACGUGUCGAGUUGUUGUAUACAAAUCGUUCUACUGGUUGACCGCAGAAUGAAAUUCCUGACGGGUGAUGGAAUGAAAAAUGCAAUAUUUUUUCAAAAACCCUUCUAUCAUAUACGCAUAUACAUAGACACACGCAUUAACAUACACGCACGUGUACGCACGCACGUGUACGCACACAUACAUACGUAUAUACGAAUACGAGAAGAAACGAAUAGCCUUGUCACGAUGAACAGUGAUAACGAGACGAACGUGCUUCGACAAGCUUUCCCUUCGACAGUAUUCAAUGUGACUUCGAAAAGGUAACAUCUCUACGUGCCAUCGUCCUCCCGUCUUAAAUCAUCGUACAAGAUAUUCUACGAAAGGAACGUCACCUCAUGGCCAUUCGUACUACAUGGUUAAGACGACAUAGAAAUGUUUCUAUGGAUGGACCAAAAGUUUUUCAUUCUUCAAAUUAUUUUUUACAAAUUUGUGAUAAGAUAAGAAAA
This is a long non-coding RNA of Vespa mandarinia (Asian giant hornet), 589 nucleotides long. RefSeq lists it as uncharacterized. The record is from RefSeq and is a predicted model, not a curated record. Lineage: Eukaryota; Metazoa; Arthropoda; Insecta; Hymenoptera; Vespidae.